This 74-nucleotide transfer RNA is filed under the name Colletotrichum orbiculare MAFF 240422. RNAcentral describes it as "tRNA-Glu (CTC) (tRNA-Glu-CTC-6-1)". It matches the Rfam family "tRNA". Rfam says of the family: Transfer RNA (tRNA) molecules are approximately 80 nucleotides in length. Their secondary structure includes four short double-helical elements and three loops (D, anti-codon, and T loops). Further hydrogen bonds mediate the characteristic L-shaped molecular structure. tRNAs have two regions of fundamental functional importance: the anti-codon, which is responsible for specific mRNA codon recognition, and the 3' end, to which the tRNAs corresponding amino acid is attached (by aminoacyl-tRNA synthetases). tRNAs cope with the degeneracy of the genetic code in two manners: having more than one tRNA (with a specific anti-codon) for a particular amino acid; and 'wobble' base-pairing, i.e. permitting non-standard base-pairing at the 3rd anti-codon position. The record is from RNAcentral. Lineage: Eukaryota; Fungi; Ascomycota; Sordariomycetes; Glomerellales; Glomerellaceae.
GGUUGUAUAGUGUAGCGGUUAUCACUGUAAGCUCUCCUCUUCCGGUAACCCCGGUUCGAACCCGGGUACGACCU